AAAGUAUUUCAAUGAUCAAUUCUUGUUUCUUUUUCCUGCUUAGAUGCUAGAUAUGGUGAUCCGUCUUAUCAAAAGAUACAAUUUUCUUGUUAUUUGAAGGAGAAUUACAAAUCUGACAAAUAAGUUGCGCCACGCCGAUUUCCUUGAUAAAGUUCUUUCUUUAAAAAAGACAUGUUCUUUCCGUUUUUGGAAUGUGACAUAUUUGUCAGGCUUGUGAUUCUCCUUCGAUGACACAGAAAAUGGUACCAAUCGGUAACCGGAUCUCCAUGCGUCCGAGUCGGAUAAAGAAACGAGUAUUUGAUCCGACACUUUACCGGUGCCGGCGAUCUUUCCCCGGUUUUUCAGGAUUUCCGGUGAUGCUUUUUAACAAAGUUGUUCUUUUUAUUUAAAACCCUAAAUUGAUUAUCCCUCCGAAUUAAAUCUUGUUGGUUUUUCGUGAGUAUGUCUCAGCUUUUAGAAACCCUAUUCAGUUUAAAUCCCAAAAUUUGAACCCUAAAUUUGUGUAACUAGUAGACCAUUAAGAGAUUGCUAGAUCUGUUCUUAAUUGAUUGGACUUAUUUUUUUCUUCUAAGUAGAAACUAAAUUGCCUGGUAAAUUUUUUAUAGAAAGUUUAGUCUUUUUUUUUAUAUGUGCUGUGAGUUUAACAAGCAUUUCUGAUUUUAAUAAAUAACCUUUUGCUAUGUGAAGCAUCUAAUUAAGCUGCUUUAAUGUUCACUUUUAAUUUAGUUUUCACAUUUUUACUUCUUUUGCACUAGUUUUUGGCGAGUCUUCAGUAUUAUAAUGAUUAGUUUCAUUUAUUUCCUAAAGUUUGAACUUUUUAGGUUUUAAAUCCUUUAUGAUUCCAAGUGAUUAGUUAGUUCAGUUGCAGGUGCAGGAAACAUUUCUUAAGCUUCAUGAUAGGAUUUCUUAGUUACUGAUUACUUUUCAUAUUUGCUGAAAUCGGCUUGUUUAAUUACAUGUUAUACCUGUUAUGGUGCAGAAUGUAGCGUCCUGUCGGGGAGAAGUAUUGUGUGAUUCUACCCAUUUAUUUCUUGUCAAUAAGUUAAGGAGGUUGUGUGCUCUCAUGUCUCAGAAAUAGUAAAAACUAUAGUUGACGUGCCUUUUCUUAUUAAAUAUAUGUUGAAGUAUGGAUACAAUUAUGUAUAAGUAGAUAUUUAGAAUGGAAUAAACUUAUCCUACUAUAGAAUCUUAUUAUGACAAUAAGAUGUGUAGAUGAAAAUGAGCGAAAGAAGUAUGAUUGCAUCUACAUAUGCAUCAAUUGCAUACCAGAAUUAAUAUGAUAUUGCCUCACUAGAUCUAUGCAAUGUUUACCUCUACCACCUUCUUAACUUCCCCCUCUUUGGCAUGAUCGAUUUAUCCCCUGUGACCCUGCAAAUAUCUAGUCAAAACCUAACGUAACAGUUUUAAAAGAAGUCAGGUUCCUAAGUUCCUUAGAACUCGCUGAACUCUUUCUCUUUUGGUGGGAAGCAUAGAACUACCAUAUCCUUUAUUUUCUCAUUUCCUGGUGAUUAUCAGACUUAUGGCAUUAAGGAACAUUAUUCAUAAAGAUGAUUACAGGUGAUUGCACCUUUGUGCUUACUAAAUUUAUUGCCCUGGUGGCAAUUGACUUGAGCCUUGGGGUUUGCUCCCUUUCAAGGUCUCAAGUUCAAAACCCAUUAGGUGCAAACAAUUUCUGAGGGCCAUCGGACCGGGUAAAACCUAAAUUAACCAUGGUGCACUUGCGGGAAACUCCUUGCCGAGGGCCUGUGCACCCAUGGGAUUAGUCGGGGCUCGAAGAGACUCGGACACCCGGUGCAAUAAAAAAAAAAACAAAAAGAAUUUAUUGGCUGGAGCUUCUCAAACACUUUGAAGAUUGAAAUGCCUUUUUUCCCCCUUUGGUUGGGUUUUUUUAUGCUAACAAUUCCUUGUCGGAGACAUUCCAUAUUUUCUAAUUAUUCUGAUUGGCACUGACAACUAUAACUUCUAAUCAUUGUUAUGUUCUAAAGCUUUUUUGUUUUUUGUGUCUGUGUCUAUGUACUUCCAGAGACACUGAGCCGAGGGUCGAUUGAAAACAGCCUCUCUGCCCUUUCGGGGUAGGGGUAAGGCCCGUCUACAUAUUACCCUCCCCAGACCCCACUUUGUGGGACUAUACUGGGUAGUUGUUAUUGUUGUUGUUGUCUAUGUACUUCCAUGACGAGGAAUCUCUUAAAUGAGCCAUGCUCUUUGAAUAGGAAUAAAAUAUGUUGUUUUCAGUUCUUCACACUUUAUGGGCCUUAUUUUACUUAUAUGAUAGCCUCUUUCAUAUCUUUUGCAAUUACCUUUUUUAUUACAUCUACUAGUGAGUAUGCGCCGGGUAUGUUGUUGUUGUUAGUGCGUUUGCAUCUAGAAAGCUAGUUGAAGAGCUAGAUAUAGAAUCUUGGUGACAUGUCUUGCCUCAAGACUAUUAGUUCUUGACUGUCGUGCUCAUACUGGAGCCAAUUUGCACAACUACUAAGAAAUCAAACUAGUGAACUCUCAAAGAAGUCACUCUAUGCAACUUGGUAUGACAAGAUAAAACCAAGUAUGUUGUGGCAGAAAGCUUAAAAACUAGAAAUAACAAGCAGCAAUUAGUGGAAAGUUAUUAGGAGACCUUUUAAAGAACUUCAAUACUCGGGUAAUGUUCAAAGUUCAAACUUAAAAUCUGAAGGUGUGAUCUGUUACUGCAAUUUGAUUAGGUCAUGAAAUUUUUGCAAGUGUUGCAACCGUAACGUGUUAACAACAACAACCGUAACGUGUCACACGGACAAAAAAGCUGCAAGCUUUUCAACUAACAUUGUUGUUGAGGGACUCGUUCCUAGAAUGUUAUGGAUAAGAGUUAGCAAUGAACAGUAAUAGUUACUCAGUGCUUAUGCAAUCCUAUUUGUAGAGAGAGUGGGGGAGAGAAGAAGAAUUCACAUAGUAUCGCCUAUGUUAAGAUUCAAGCCUUGGUUCCCAAGGUCAUUACUCUUCUCUUCGACUUCUAGACUAUCCCGUUGAAGGUGUUUAUGAUGGCUAUUACGGAACAUUUAUUCCUCUAGAGAGUAGAGACUUAGUUAUCUUAUCAAAAAAUAUUCCUCCAGAGACAUAAUGUUAAUAGUUCUGAGCUAAUAACCUCCUCCGCAUGUAAUUCCACCAUUUUUUUUGCUGAAAUUAUAGGCUGAUGAUCCUCAGAUUACUUUGAGGUUUGAAGUCCUUUCUUUCCUUUUGGGUUAAACAAUUGGACAGUCUUUAGAGUCUUCAUAGAAUAGUAGUAGUCAGUGUGAAAUAGCAUUAGAUGCCUGGGCAACAAUUAAGGUAUUGGUUCAUUAUGAUGAAACUAUCAAAUGAACCUUGCUCCUAGCAUAGGAAUAAUUUAAUUUAUGUUUUCUUUGUAAGUAAAAUUGGCAAGACAUGGUCAUGCUUCAGAUUACCGAUGACAUGACCUUUGAUAGAAAGGUAUGGAGGUCAAGGAUUAGGGUAGAAGGUUAGGUGGUCGAGUGGUUUUUCUUGGUCUCACUAGUAGCAUUAGUACAUACUCUCGUCUUGCUUUUAGUCUUAGGUUUCUAUUAUUGCCUGGUGUUGCUUUCGUUUUGGUUAUCUUACUAUCUUGCUAUUUAAUGCUUCUUUUCCAUGGCAUAUUAUUGUUUCUGCCUGUUUUCUUUUCAUUAUUGUUGUGCUUAUGUUUCACUGUCCCGGGGAUCUAUUGAAAAUAAUCUCUCUAUCUCCACAAGAUAGAGGUAAGGUCUGCGUACACACUAUCCUCCCCAGACCCCACUAUGUGUGUUUAUACUGGGUUAGUUGUUGUUAUUGAUUUGUUGUUGUUUGUAAGUAAAAUUGAGUCAAACCAAACUGUUUAGUGUGAACAGUGUCUGAAGUUGUUGUAAAUGAAGUGCCAACGAAUUACUGUAAUCUCUGCGUUUUUGUAUUUGUCUACAAUAACUAUCUGUGCCCUCUAACCAAAUAAUUAUUGUAAUCUUCUCUUUGUUUAUCCUCAAUUAAUGUAAUCUUCUAUUAUUCAAAAGUAGUAAAAUGCAUUUAUUACUAAGUGAACGCAUCAUCAUAUCUCACUUUCUGGUUGGUUAUAAAUGGUGAAAAAAUCAUAUCCUAACACAUGUGUUUAGUUUUUUUCAUAUCGGUCAAUCUCGUUCCUUUUUCUUUCUUGGAUGCUAGAAAUGGUGGUCCGUCUCAUCGAAUGAUAAUCUUUCAUGUUAUAUGUAAGGAGAAUCACAAACCUGACAAAUAUGUGUGACCAUCUCUAAAAGAAAGAAUACAGUAUUUCCUGGUGUUUAGAUAAUUUUUGCCAUUUCAUUUACAAAAGAAUGCCCUGUAUGUGAAAAAUAUGUAUUAUCGCUUUUUUGAUAAAGACACAUUUGUCAGGCUUGUGAUUCUCCUCUAAUAGCAUGGAAAAUAUUAUCAACUGGUGAGUGGACCUCCAUUCAUCUGAGUUGGAAAACGGAAUGGGUCAUUGAUCGGGUACUUCUCCGGCGCUGUAGCUGGAGCACUUUCACUGAUUUUCAAGAUUUCAGUGAUGUUUUUGAGUUGGUGAAAUUGUUUUUUUUUUCUUUAGAACCCUAGAUUGAUUAACCCUUUGAGUGAUUCUUAUCCUGUUCUAUGAGUUUUUUUUUUGCGUGUGUGGAUAUGUGCAGAUUUUGGAACCUUAUAAACUGCUUCAAUUUAAUUACCAAAUCUAUAAUCCAAAAAUUGCUUUUAGAAGAAGCUAGGAAGAUUUCGAUAUGUAAUUUCUGGAAAUUGUUCUUUUAUGGACUGUUAUGAUGUAUGUAUCUAUAAAUUCAAACUCUAGAAGAUUAAGUUAGCUUACUAGUGCAUCCACGAAACCAUAGAAUGAAUUAUUUUACCAAUUACGGUUCAUAAGCUCUAUUGCAGGAAAGGAUAUGUUUCUAAAACUUGACGAUAGGAUUGCUUGGUAAAUGAUUUCAUACUCAUCUUUGAUAAAAUUGUCUUGUUACUGACCUGCUAUUUUUGAGCUUCUGUUUCUUAACAUGUUUAGACAAGAGGGGUUGCUCUGAUGGUAAGUAACCCCCACUUCCAACUGAGAGGUUGUGAGUUCGAGUCUCCCCAGGAGCAAGGUGGGAAGUUCUUGGAGUGAAGGCUGCCGGGGGUCUAUUUGGAAACACCCUCUCUACCCAAGGGUAGGGGUAAGGUCUGCGUACACACUACCCUCCCCAGACCCCGCUAAGUGGGAAUAUACUGGGUUGUUGUUGUUGUUUCUUAACAUGUUUAUGUCAGUAUUAUCCUAUUCUGUUUUUUGUUACUUGCAGACUUUGGGUUUCCUUCAACACUUCCACAUACGGAUAGCUCAUUUGAAGGAUAAACUCCUAAAACGAGAGCCCGUCCAAAUGUAAAACCUGUCUGGAUACGUCCUGCUAUUCUAGAUUCAUAAAUAAUUGAGGAGAAGCGGCCGCUUUGGAAUUAUCUUUGGUAUAUCUAAGGAACAGAUUGCAUGCAUAUGAUAUAUCUGAACAAAGUGGAGAAUGGAGACUCGUAAUCCUUAAGUGUUAUCAGGUUUUAGUGCACAAGGUAGCAUACCGUCAAGAAGAAAUUUUACGAUUUAUAUACAUGUAGGCCAGUGUUCUCCCAUGUCUCAUAAAUAGUCAAAAUCAUAGUUGACAUCCCUUUUCUUAUUAAAUGUAUGUACAAUCUUUUGGUUCUCCUAUGUAUAAUUAAGUCGCUCUUUAGAACCGAACAAAGUUAUGCUUUUGACUGUCCUACUGUAGAAUUCUCGAAUUUUAAAAGCUGUUUGGAGCAAACUUUUCUAUACUUAUAGAACAUAGUUAUGCUUGAUCAAAUUGUCAGUACGAUUACAGAUGAAAAUGGUGACUGAACAUCACUACAAUGUUUUAUGCAUUUUUACCUCUGCCAACAUCUUCCCCUCCCC
Molecule: long non-coding RNA, 5872 nt
Filed under: Nicotiana benthamiana
Lineage: Eukaryota; Viridiplantae; Streptophyta; Magnoliopsida; Solanales; Solanaceae
Description: long non-coding RNA (NBEN_LNC005005)
Source: RNAcentral